CCUACGGGAGGCAGCAGUUAGGAAUAUUGGGCAAUGGAGGAAACUCUGACCCAGCAACGCCGCGUGAAGGAAGAAGGUUUUCGGAUUGUAAACUUCUGAUCUGUGGGACGAAGAAAGUGACGGUACCACAGGAGAAAGCCACGGCUAACAACGUGCCAGCAGCCGCGGUAAUACGGAGGAUGGGAGCGGUAUCCGGAUUUAUUGGGUUUAAAGGGUGCGCAGGGGGUCUGUUAAGUCAGCGGUCAAAGCCCGGGGCUCACCCCCUGCCCGCCGUUGAAACUGGCAGUCUCGAGUUGGAGAGAAGUAUGCGGAAUGCGCGGUGUAGCGGUGACCUGCAUCGAUAUCGCGCAGAACUCCGAUUGCGAAGGCAGCAUGCCGGCUCCACACUGACGCUGAGGCACGAAAGCGUGGGUAUCGAACAGGAUUAGAUACCCUAGUAGUC
Molecule: ribosomal RNA, 442 nt
Filed under: uncultured bacterium
Lineage: Bacteria
Description: partial 16S ribosomal RNA
Rfam family: Bacterial small subunit ribosomal RNA
Source: RNAcentral